UCCAGGAUUCCAACCCACAUGGAAGCCAGGGAAACUGUACCCAUCAGGAAAGCUCUACCUUGCACCAGAAAAUAACUGGAUAUCAAAAAACAUACACCACCACCAGAGGGGAUAAAACCAGUUCAUGUCCAGAGAAAUGGGAACCACAUGGACACUUCUGUUACCUCUUCACUAAUGACUGGAAAUCCUGGCAAGAGAGUAAAGAUUAUUGUACUUCUUUGGACUCCAAACUCCUUGACAUCAAAAAUAAGGAAGAACUGGAGUUCUUCAAAUCAGUAUUACAUGUUCCCCACUGGAUUGGACUAUCUCGUCAGGCAGGCAAUGAGUCCUGGCUGUGGGAGGAUGGCACAGCUCUCUUCAA
This is a long non-coding RNA of Alligator mississippiensis (American alligator), 361 nucleotides long. RefSeq lists it as uncharacterized. The record is from RefSeq and is a predicted model, not a curated record. The transcript is spliced from 3 exons. Lineage: Eukaryota; Metazoa; Chordata; Crocodylia; Alligatoridae.